GACGAACGCUGGCGGCGUGCUUAAUACAUGCAAGUCGAACGGAAAGGCCCUGCUUUUGUGGGGUUCUCGAGUGGCGAACGGGUGAGUAACACGUGAGUAACCUGUCCUUGACUUUGGGAUAACUUCAGGAAACUGGGGCUAAUAUCGGAUAGGAGCUCCUGCUGCAUGUGGGGGGUUGGUAAGUUUCGGCGGUUGGGGAUGGACUCGCGGCUUAUCAGCUUGUUUGUGGGGUAGGGGCUUACCAAGGCUUUGAAGGGUAGCCGGCCUGAGAGGGUUACCGGCCACAUUGGGCCUGAGAUACGGCCCAGACUCCUACGGGAGGCAGCAGUGGGGAAUAUUGCACAAUGGGCGGAAGCCUGAUGCAGCAACGCCGCGUGCGGGAUGACGGCCUUCGGGUUGUAAACAGCUUUCGACUGUGACGAAGCGUGAGUGACGGUAAUGAGUAAAGAAGCACCGGCUAACUACGUG
Molecule: ribosomal RNA, 468 nt
Filed under: uncultured bacterium
Lineage: Bacteria
Description: partial 16S ribosomal RNA
Rfam family: Bacterial small subunit ribosomal RNA
Source: RNAcentral